GCUCGCAUGGCUUAGUUGGUAAAGCGCGUCACUAGUAAGGGCGAGGGAGCUCAGAGCUUAUGACGAGAUCCUGUGUUCGAAUCACAGUGUGAGCA
This is a non-coding RNA of Kalaharituber pfeilii, 95 nucleotides long. The record is from the annotation of a GenBank genome assembly. Lineage: Eukaryota; Fungi; Ascomycota; Pezizomycetes; Pezizales; Pezizaceae.